AUUGAACGCUGGCGGCAGGCUUAACACAUGCAAGUCGAGCGGGGGAAGGUAGCUUGCUACCGGACCUAGCGGCGGACGGGUGAGUAAUGCUUAGGAAUCUGCCUAUUAGUGGGGGACAACAUCUCGAAAGGGAUGCUAAUACCGCUUACGUCCUACGGGAGAAAGCAGGGGAUCUUCGGACCUUGCGCUAAUAGAUGAGCCUAAGUCGGAUUAGCUAGUUGGUGGGGUAAAGGCCUACCAAGGCGACGAUCUGUAGCGGGUCUGAGAGGAUGAUCCGCCACACUGGGACUGAGACACGGCCCAGACUCCUACGGGAGGCAGCAGUGGGGAAUAUUGGACAAUGGGGGGAACCCUGACCCAGCCAUGCCGCGUGUGUGAAGAAGGCCUUAUGGUUGUAAAGCACUUUAAGCGAGGAGGAGGCUACUUUAGUUAAUACCUAGAGAUAGUGGACGUUACUCGCAGAAUAAGCACCGGCUAACUCUGUGCCAGCAGCCGCCGUAA
RNAcentral lists this ribosomal RNA (501 nucleotides) under uncultured bacterium. Its description in RNAcentral is "partial 16S ribosomal RNA". It matches the Rfam family "Bacterial small subunit ribosomal RNA", at positions 30 to 523 of the family's 1533-position model. The record is from RNAcentral.